ACGGUUACCUUGUUACGACUUCACCCCAGUUACCGGCUCCACCUUCGGCAGCUCCUUCCUUUCGGUUAGGUCACUGACUUCGGGCAUUUCCGACUCCCAUGGUGUGACGGGCGGUGUGUACAAGACCCGGGAACGUAUUCACCGCGACAUUCUGAUUCGCGAUUACUAGCGAUUCCAGCUUCAUGUAGUCGAGUUGCAGACUACAAUCCGAACUGGGACGUUAUUUUUGGGAUUUGCUCAACGUCACCGUCUCGCUUCCCUUUGUUUACGCCAUUGUAGCACGUGUGUAGCCCUGAUCAUAAGGGGCAUGAUGAUUUGACGUCAUCCCCGCCUUCCUCCCGGUUAUCCCGGGCAGUCUCUCCAGAGUGCCCAGCUCUACCUGCUGGCUACUGGAAAUAGGGGUUGCGCUCGUUGCGGGACUUAACCCAACAUCUCACGACACGAGCUGACGACAACCAUGCACCACCUGUCUCCAAUGCCCCGAAGGGAAAGUGACUUUGCUCACUCGUCAUCGGGAUGUCAAGACCAGGUAAGGUUCUUCGCGUUGCUUCCAAUUAAACCACAUGCUCCACCGCUUGUG
RNAcentral lists this ribosomal RNA (580 nucleotides) under uncultured bacterium. RNAcentral describes it as "partial 16S ribosomal RNA". The record is from RNAcentral.